GUAGCGGACCGCCAGUCGGUUUCCUCUCAUCCCCCUUUCCUUCCCCCCCACCCCCCUCCCCUUCCCGGCCGGGGCCGGAUGGUUUCCCGGCUUGCCCUGCGCAGGCGUUGACGUCCGCACAGCUUCGUCCCAGCCUCCGCUGCCGCCAUUGGAGUCAGCGCUUCUUCCGUUCAUCCCCAUCUUGAGGCUCUGGUCGCCGCUUCCUCAGCCCUUUCCUCCUCCUCUUCCUCGUCCUCCAUUGCUGUUUUGCCCCAGCUCCGGGAGCCUGCUGCCGCGAGGAAGAAGCUGCCCGGGCGGAGGGUGGGUGGGAGGGAGGGAGGGACGGGGUGGGGGGUCGGCGGGCAGGCGGGCGGUGAGGAGCGGGAAGUGACAGGGCCCCCCACCCCACCCUAGCCCGGCCGGAGACUGAGCCUCGGGGCCACCCCCGCAGUCCCGACGGGCGCAGGUCCUCAGCGCCGCGCCUCCUUGAGCUGCCCCGCGCGGCACCCGGCCCGACCCUCCGCGCCCCCACCUCUCGGACCCGGGGUGACUCCUUCUCCCUCCCUUUUCCCCUUCCCCUCCCCUCCCCCUUCCCCCUUUCCCACUCCCGGGGCCUAGUUCAUGAAUUAUGUCGGCCACCAGCGUAGACCCUCAGAGAACAAAAGGACAAGAUAAUAAAGUACAAAAUGGUUCGUUGCAUCAAAAGGAUACAGUACAUGACAAUGACUUUGAACCCUACCUUUCUGGACAGUCAAAUCAGUACUUUCAGGUUUACCAAGCCAUCUCCUUACUACAACUCUUUGAGAAUAAUAGCUAUCCCUCAAUGACUGAUCCCUACCUUUCCAGUUACUAUCCACCAUCUAUUGGAUUUCCUUACUCACUCAGUGAAGCACCAUGGUCUACUGGUGGUGAUCCACCUAUUCCAUAUCUCACCACUUAUGGACAGCUUAGUAAUGGAGAUCAUCAUUUCAUGCAUGAUGCUGUUUUUGGACAACCUGGGGGUCUGGGAAACAAUAUCUAUCAACACAGGUUUAAUUUUUUCCCAGAAAACCCUGCAUUUUCAGCAUGGGGAACAAGUGGAUCCCAAGGACAACAGACUCAAAGUUCAGCUUAUGGAAGCAGUUAUAGCUACCCACCCAGUUCUUUGGGUGGUACUAUUGUUGAUGGACAGACAGGAUUUCAUAAUGACACUUUAAAUAAAGCACCUGGAAUGAAUAGCAUUGAGCAGGGAAUGGUUGGACUUAAGAUUGGUGGAGAUGUGACAACAUCUGCAGUUAAAACAGUAGGAUCUGUUAACAGUGCUGUAAUGACUGGUGCUCUUUCUGGUAAUGGUGGAUCAAAUGUAAACUUACCAGUUUCAAAACCAACAUCUUGGGCUGCCAUUGCUAGCAAACCUGCAAAACCACAACCUAAAAUGAAAACAAAAAGUGGACCUAUAAUUGGAGGUGCUUUACCUCCACCACCUAUAAAACAUAAUAUGGACAUUGGUACUUGGGAUAAUAAGGGGCCUGUGAACAAAGCUCCUGCUCCCCAACAGAUUCCAUCACCUCAGUCUCUCCCACAGUCACAACAGCAGAUUGUUCAGCCUAUUCCAACUCAGCCUCCUCCUUUGGCCCAGACACAAUAUCAGAACCCUCAACAACCACCCCCAAACCGCUGGGUAGCCCCUCGAAAUCGAAAUGCAGCUUUUGGACAAAGUGGAGGAACUAGUAGCGAUAGCAAUUCUACUGGAAAUGCCCAAACUAAUUCUGUUCCAAGUGGAGAAUCACACCCUGUCCUUGAAAAACUGAAAGCAGCCCAUAGUUAUAAUCCUAAAGAAUUUGAUUGGAACCUUAAAAAUGGACGUGUGUUCAUAAUAAAGAGCUAUUCUGAGGAUGAUAUUCAUCGUUCCAUUAAAUACUCCAUUUGGUGUAGCACAGAACAUGGAAACAAACGUUUGGACAGUGCUUUCCGUUCUCUGAACAGUAAGGGUCCUGUCUAUUUGCUCUUCAGUGUCAAUGGUAGUGGACAUUUUUGUGGAGUGGCAGAGAUGAAGUCACCUGUGGACUAUGGCACUAGUGCUGGUGUCUGGUCUCAGGACAAAUGGAAGGGGAAAUUUGAUGUCAAGUGGAUCUUUGUCAAGGAUGUGCCCAACAACCAACUUCGACACAUCAGACUGGAGAAUAAUGACAACAAACCAGUAACAAACUCCCGUGACACACAGGAGGUACCCUUAGAAAAAGCCAAACAAGUGCUUAAAAUUAUUUCCACUUACAAGCACACAACCUCCAUCUUUGAUGACUUUUCUCAUUAUGAAAAGCGCCAAGAAGAAGAAGAAGUAGUACGCAAGGAUAAGACUGCAUGGAUGAUCAAAGCUGGGGUCCAUGAGCAAGCAAAGUGACAUGCUGGUGAUGUAGUAUAGUCAUUCAUGUGUGAUUGUCUCCAAUCUUCAGGCUUAAUUUUUCAGGAACGGCAGAAUCGGAACAAACAAUAAGAAUAAAGAUAAACCUAGAACUGUUCACAAACUCAACUCUGAAAAGAAACUUUAAAAAUGCUGGUGCUGUAUCUAGGCAUCAGGACUGACUAAAGCUUUCAGCUCCAAUGUAUCUUCUUCUCAUGCAGGGGAAAUUAAGUUGUUGUAUCUUUAAUUACUUUGUAGCUUUUUUUUUUUUGCCCAGGUGGAUCUGCAUUAAUUUGUUUUAUUUUUUCUAUGUACAAUGCUGUAGAACCCAUUAAUAAAGUUGUAUUUUUUUAAGUCAGCUAUUAAUCAGACUGACCUAAUAAACUAAGAUAAGCAUCCUUAAAAAAAAUGUAAAGGCCUAAUGCUUCCCAAAGAUUAUUAUUGUUUUUAGUUUUGGCAAAAAUUAUGUUCCUUUUCUUAUAUUCACAAUAACCAUAUAUCUAUAAAUAUGAGCCUUCAUAUACUAUCCUCCUUCUAUGGUUUUUUGGCAAACAUAAGAAACCAUGCAUUGUGUUGUCAAGUAAAAUGUUCUAUUAAAAAUACUUUCUCUUAAAAAUACUGAAAUCAAAAGGUAAAUCAAAUCACUUUUGUGUAAUGUUAUGCCAUUUAUUUUGUCUGUGAUUAUACUUCUAAAAAGGCAGGAUUGUCGGUUUGAUUUUCUACUAAAUGGGGAAAAAUCAAAUUUUAAGUUUUCAAAAGCUUUGGAAAAUUGUUUAGAUUUCUUUAGCACAACCAAAAGAAUCCCUUUCAAGUUCUGUUAACCAGAGCUUUUUGAAUGCAUUUGUUAUACCACAUCUUGCAGAGAAUAUUACUUUCUCCAGCCAUAAUUGCUUUAUUGUUCAUAUAGCUUAAUAAUGUGAUGUGAUGCUAUCAACAUGCAGGGUUUUUUGAAAAUGUGUUUUAAACCUGGUUCAUCUUUCAGGUGUUCUUAGUUUACUGCAGAUCAUUUAAAAUUUUUCCCUUAUUCCUUACUCAAGAAUCCUAAUGCCAUUUUAAGUUUUUAUACCAAUAAUGCUGAGCUUUAAUGUAGGAACUAAUAGAAUGGAAAGUAUGAUGGAUUAUGCCUCAAAUGUUUAAAAUUGACAGUGUAUGUCUAAUUUUUUUUCUGUUGGAUGAGUAAAAGAAAAACUUUUAAAAACUCAAGUUUGCUGUCAUGUUUUUGUGGAAUGUGAGGGAACCACUGAAGAACUCACCACCAAGUGGAGUUGGAAUUAAGCAUGAAAAUGGUGCUCAUGGCCUGUUGCUCUAGCCCACUGAAUCUGCACGUGUUUAUUGUAGAGGAUCUUUACUAUUAUAUUAGACAGCAAAUAGCUAAUGGAAAUUAUUUACUCCAAAAGACCCUCUGAUUUAAGAUUUAAACUGUAUCAUUUAGACUUGUAAUUAGAACGUAUAACUUGUCUCGACUAUUACUGCCUGUAUGGAGUAAUGGACAUCAGAUUAACAUUUUUCCUUUAGGAGAACAUAAGCCUUAAUAAACAGUACCUAUUUAGCAA
Molecule: RNA transcript, 3912 nt
Organism: Monodelphis domestica (gray short-tailed opossum)
Lineage: Eukaryota; Metazoa; Chordata; Mammalia; Didelphimorphia; Didelphidae
Gene: YTHDF1
Gene name: YTH N6-methyladenosine RNA binding protein F1
Source: RefSeq, a predicted model, not a curated record